This is a non-coding RNA of Salmo salar (Atlantic salmon), 56 nucleotides long. NCBI's taxonomy places the organism in Eukaryota, Metazoa, Chordata, Actinopteri, Salmoniformes, Salmonidae. The record is from Rfam.
UGCAUUCACUACUGUAAGUCGCUCUGGAUAAGAGCGCCUGCUAUAAAUGACUAAAA